This 396-nucleotide non-coding RNA is filed under the name Brassica napus (rape). Its description in RNAcentral is "Eukaryotic large subunit ribosomal RNA". It matches the Rfam family "Eukaryotic large subunit ribosomal RNA", at positions 783 to 1054 of the family's 3401-position model. The record is from Rfam by way of RNAcentral. Lineage: Eukaryota; Viridiplantae; Streptophyta; Magnoliopsida; Brassicales; Brassicaceae.
GUUACAAGCGAGUGUGAGCAUGCCUGUCAGGACCCGAAAGAUGGUGAACUAUGCCUGAGCGGGGCGAAGCUAGAGGAAACUCUGGCGGAGGCCCGCAGCGAUACUGACGUGCAAAUCGUUCGUCUGACUUGGGUAUAGGGGCGAAAGACUAAUCGAACCAUCUAGUAACUGGUUCCCUCCGAAGUUUCCCUCAGGAUAGUUGGAGCUCAGAAACGAGUUCUAUCGGGUAAACCCAAUGAUUAGAGGCUUCAGGGAUGCAAUGUCCGUCCUGUGUGUCCUGGCGGACACCCACGGACGUCCUGUGUGUACUGAACAGACAGCCCACGUGGGCCAAAAUCACCCAAACAGUCCAAGGGAAGGGCCAGCGUGCUGAGUCCAAGGACACACGUGCUGAUA